UCCUCAGACCUUGCUUCCCUCCUCCUUUCUCACUGUAGAGAAACAGGAAGUGUUGUUUAUUAAUAAGCCUGACCAGGGUCACACCCAAGGUAGUAACCGAGUUUUACUUCUCCUGGUCUUGGGGAGAGGCUCAAGGAUCAGGGACAAGCU
Molecule: non-coding RNA, 150 nt
Organism: Tursiops truncatus (common bottlenose dolphin)
Lineage: Eukaryota; Metazoa; Chordata; Mammalia; Artiodactyla; Delphinidae
Source: Rfam